GAAAUGCGAUACGUAGUGUGAAUUGCAGAAUUCAGUGAAUCAUCGAAGUCUUGAACGCAUAUUGCGCUGGUGGUUCCACCCACCAGCAUGCCUGUUCGAGUGUCGAUUACAUCUCAAAAGAGACACACACACUCGUGUGUUCUCUAUUUGGAUCUGGGUGUCGAGUCGUUCACUUGACUCUGUCACCUGAAAAUCAUUGGGAGUUGUAAAUGAUCCAUCUUUUUUGGUCCCAAAUUGGUGUGCUUAACAUACCUCGUAUGAUAAUCACCAGUAGUAAGAUCAAAACUUUUUUUUAUAAAAGUGGAUGUGAUCUCCUCACGACUCUUUCAUAGGAAAAUAAACAUCCAAAACUUCGACCUCGAAUCAGGCAAGAAUACCCGCUGAACUUAA
Molecule: unclassified non-coding RNA, 390 nt
Filed under: uncultured fungus
Lineage: Eukaryota; Fungi
Description: sequence contains ITS1
Rfam family: 5.8S ribosomal RNA (bases 1-105)
Source: RNAcentral